AAUUAAAAUUUCAUCAUUUUGUACUGUUAAAAACUGGCGUGGCUGACGAAAUAAUCAAACAGUGACAUGUGACAUACCACGUGUAACUCAUGCUGACGUACAAGAAUCAAUUUUUAACAGCAGAAAUAGAUGAAAUUUAUAAUA
This is a microRNA precursor of Gossypium arboreum, 144 nucleotides long. It matches the Rfam family "MIR7502 microRNA precursor family". The record is from Rfam. NCBI's taxonomy places the organism in Eukaryota, Viridiplantae, Streptophyta, Magnoliopsida, Malvales, Malvaceae.